This is a long non-coding RNA of Anguilla rostrata (American eel), 4188 nucleotides long. RefSeq lists it as uncharacterized. The record is from RefSeq and is a predicted model, not a curated record. The transcript has 2 exons. NCBI's taxonomy places the organism in Eukaryota, Metazoa, Chordata, Actinopteri, Anguilliformes, Anguillidae.
UGUAUUUUGACCGCAUUUGUACCGUAGAAUUAUAUGGAAACCGGAUAUGAAAACACCUAUACUGGAGCCAACCGUAGUGGCGCUAGUGAGCAACCAGGAACAACAAGACCAGGAAAUGAGCUUCAAAAACGAAGUCCGGUUUUGGCCGCUUAAUUCGGACGCAGCCUUUUCGUCCGCUUACCUGUGGGUGGAAGCUUUUUUCGCGUAAUAGGUGCCUGCGUUCUUCCUUGUCCGUUCACCCGAUAUAUAAGCAGCUUGAAACACAGCAACUGACAACAGACAACAACAGACAACUUGUCACAAACAUAUACGUAUAGGAAUUGUAAGGUCAGCUAACCUUAUUUUUUUCCAAGUGGGAAAACUAGAAGACCUCCGUCGGUUAGCCUAGUCAAAGAUAGACGGACACACCCUGUCAAAGCCUGUGAGAGUAGACAGUAAACUGUAUGUAGCGAGAUCGUCAUCCAGUGCCGAAUUGCCCCAUUUUAUUCACUCGAACAGGGUAAUGUUUAUUAAAGUCGUCGUAAUAUGUUCACAUAUGUUUGGAUGGACAUGGAAUUUCACACGGUAGUUUAAUUACCAUAAAUACCGGACACCUAGGCUACUUCCAACCCCCACGUCUUUUCGAAAUUUUCAAUAAAAAGGACGGAACCAACGACGCAAAAAAGCGUGUCCGGGUUCUGGACGGUGUCCGACUAUGAGUAAAAUGAUAUCAUAUAGGCCUAGAGUAAUCUCUGCCUAACAUAAUCACUCCACUGUACAUUUUUCAUCAAUAUUGCAAACCACUUAAUUUUAGUAGGCCAAUGGGAAUGAUUCCCUCUAAAACAUGAAAAAAAGUAACAACCCCUUAAUUGUUUAAUUUAAAACAAAAUCAGGGUUUAUAGUGCAGUAAGUGUAAAAAUGUCAACAACAAGCGACAAGUCCUGUGACGUCCGUCUCACUAGGCUACCUCCUCACGUAGUAGAAGUGGUCAUGGAAUAUCAAAAAACUGAAGUAAACUUUCUUUUAAAGGUUAUUUUUAAAUUACUUUCUGGUCUAAAAGGUAUGUUUGGAUUCCGUAUGAGCUCUUAGCUUGUUAGGCUACGCAUUAAACUCGCUAUUUUAUUGCCAGUUAUCCGUUUUUCUGAAUUACGCGGGUUAAUGCGAUUAUACCUGCAGAUUCCCAUUCCUCCCCGCAGCCCUUUACCUUCAGCUUCUCUUACCUCAGUUCCACUCCACAACAGACUGUUUACUCCGUUUUUUACAUUUCAUUUUAUUCCUUCUUUCCUAGGAUUCCUUUCUUCUCCGUUUUUAAAAUGGCCGUUAAGCUUCCGUUUCUGUUUUGGACAUUUCCUUACUUACCUGUUUACCUGCUCAACUGAAUGUUCGAUGGGUGGAGUCAUCUGUUGUGGAGUGGAACUGAGGUAAGAGAAGCUGAAGAUAAAGGGCUGCGGGGAGGAAUGGGAAUCUGCAGGUAUAAUUUAUUAGCUGCAUCAGUCACGGUAUUUAAUAAGUUAUGCAGAAUAAACAAAUAUUUCAUCCAUGUAGAUCUUUGCCAAAUUUUAGCACAUACAGUGAGCACCAUAAUUCAUUGGACAGUGACACAUUUUUUGUUAUUUUGGUUCUGUACUCUAGCACUUUGAGUUUGAAAGGAUACAAUGACAAUGAGGUUGAAGUGCAGAGUGUCAGCUUUAAUUUGAGGGCAUUUUCAUCCAUAUCGGAUGAACCGUUUAGAAAUGACAGAACCUUUUGUACAUGGUCCCCCCAUUUUAAGGUACUACAAGUAUUUGUUGAAUUGGCUUCACAGAUGUGUUUCGUUAGGCAGGUGUAUUAAUUUGUGUCGUUAGUGAAUGCAGAAGAGAGCUGUUGAUGUCUCGUCUUGAUUCUAGACUUUGCAAUUGCCUUUGGAGAUUGUUGUUGGGGUGUGACAACAUAACGAAGACAGCAGUGUCGAUGCAAAAUAAGCUGGCCGUCAUAAGGCUCAGAAAUGAAAAUCAAUCAAUCAGGAACAUUGCAAAAACCCUGGGCAUGCCCAAGUCAACAGUUUGGUUCAUCAUUAACAAGAAAAAAAACAACCGGUGAAUUCAAUUAUGUCAAAAGACCCGGUAGACUGAGGAAGACCACUGUAGUGGAUGACCGGAGAAUACUCUCUAUGGUGAAGAAAACCCCCCUGACAACAGCCCAACAGAUCAAAAACACUCUCCUUGAUGCAGGUGUAGAUAUGUCAAAGUCUGCCAUACGUAGAAGACUACACCAGCAGGACUACAGAGGGUACACUACUAGAUGCAAACCACUGAUAAGCCUGAAGAACAGAAAGGCGAGAUUACAGUUUGCUAAAAAGCACCUAAAAAAGCCCCAAGAGUUCUGGAACAAAGUCUUGUGGACAGAUGAGGCAAAGAUUAACAUGUACCAGAGUGAUGGAAAGAGGAAAGUGUGGAGAAAAAAAGGAAAUGCCCAUGAUCCAAAGCAUACCACCUCAUCUGUGAAACAUGGUGGAGGGGGUGUUAUGGCUUGGGCCUGUAUGGCUGCCAGUGGAACGGGCUCACUUGUCUUCAUCGAUGAUGUGACUGCAGACAGAAGUAGAACAAUGAAUUAUGAAGUCUACAGAAAUAUUUUAUCUGCUCAGAUCAAACCAAAUGCCUCAAAACUCAUUGGACGGCACUUCAUCAUGCAGCAAGACAAUGACCAAAACAUACUGCUAAAAGUGGAAAAUCCUUGACUGGCUGAGUCAAUCACCGGAUCUGAAUCCAACUGAACAUGCAUUUUACAUGCUGAAGAGGAGACUGAAGGCAAAAAGUCCCCGAAACAAACAGGAACUGAAGAUGGCUGCAGUACGGGCCUGGCAGAGCAUCACCAGGGAAGAUACCCAUCGUCUGGUGAUGUCUGUGCAUCGCAGACUUCAAGCAGUCAUGCAUGCAAAGGAUAUGCGACCAAAUAUUAAAAAUGAUUACUUUAUUCUACAUUAUGCUAAGCUGUCCAGUAUUUUUUGAUGCCUGAAAAUGGGGGGGACUAUGUGCAAAAGGUUCUAUAAUUUCUAAACGGUUCAUCCGAUAUGUAUGAAAAUAGCCUCUAAUUAAAGCUGACAGUCUGCACUUCAACCUCAUUGUAUCUUUUCAAACCAAAAAAUGUGUCACUGUCCAAUGAAUUAUGGUGCUUACUGUACAUAUAUCAGGCCUAUUCAACAACUUGUGAAUUAUAUUGAUGUUGGGACUUAGAGUUCUCCAAUAUCUGUAGGCUGAACACAGAAAUAAGCCUUUUUGAUUAUAAGAAACCAUCUCGAGACAAAUAGCCUACUACAGACAGCAAAUUAAAUUAAUUACUUAAUUAAUUAAUUAAUUAAUUAAUUAAUUAAUUAUUUAUUUAACGCUCCACCAGUCUCCCUGCCAGUCACUGACCCAUUAACAUCCUGAAUGAUGGCCCUAUGUAACAUGCUAAUGUGUGAGGGCUGAAAUGUGAGAUCUGACCCACAGUCUCUUUCUCGAGUCGGGAGUAUCCGGAGACGGGACGUGUCAAAAGCAAAAUGGACGGAUCAAAAGCAUGUUUCUAUUGGUCAAUGAUUCGGUGAGUCACGUAUAUUAUCCAAUCAAAAUCAUGAUCCAAAGGCGGUAGAUGUAUCAAGAUGGUUUUGACGUUUCUGAGACGGCAUAUCUGUUUUUGUUGUCGGUCCUGGACGUGAAUAGUAGGCUAUGUCGGUGCGUCAAUUAUGCGCGAAAACAAAAGUUGUGGUAUUUGUGUAAUCUGUUAAUUUACACAAUUUAUUUGAAAAUGGCAUUUGAUCGUCAGUGAUUACGACGCUGAAGUUGGCUCCCGAUUCGCAGCUCCCGACUCGAAAAUUCCGCUCCACCUUAAAUUGGCGAGGUCUCUUUCCAGCAGGUUCUUGUUAUUUUAGCAGAUUCCUGGCACAUUUAAAUGUUUUUGGGACCAGGACUUUGUUUCACGGUCUUUGUCUAAACUAUAUAGCCAAUCUAAUAUGCAGUAAAGUCAUGUUUGGUGUUGAUGGAGAGCUAAUAUCAUGAGCUGUUAGAUGGUCUCAUUCUAUUUUGAGAACGUUGUCAUUCAAAGUUUAUGUGUUACAUGAAAGUGAAACGCCAAUCACGGAAAUUGAGCUAUGCAGUUGUUACACCUGAAAUUGUGAAAAUGGCGACACUAUGUUUGAACAAUUGUCUGAAUCCAGUGCUUUGGAUGCUGUUUGGAAUAAAAUUAUUAUUAUUA